UACGGGGGGGGCAAGCGUUGUUCGGAAUUACUGGGCGUAAAGGGCUCGUAGGUGGCCAACUAAGUCAGACGUGAAAUCCCUCAGCUUAACUGGGGAACUGCGUCUGAUACUGGAUGGCUUGAGUUUGGGAGAGGGAUGCGGAAUUCCAGGUGUAGCGGUGAAAUGCGUAGAUAUCAGGAGGAACACCAAUAGCGAAGGCAGCUCGCUGGGACGGUACUGACGCUGAGGCGCGAAAGCGUGGGGAGCGAACAGG
This 253-nucleotide ribosomal RNA is filed under the name uncultured bacterium. Its description in RNAcentral is "partial 16S ribosomal RNA". It matches the Rfam family "Bacterial small subunit ribosomal RNA", at positions 524 to 776 of the family's 1533-position model. The record is from RNAcentral.